UAGCCGUAAACGAUACUCGCUAGGUGUCGGCCACGGUGCGACCGUUGUCGGCGCCGUAGGGAAGCCGUGAAGCGAGCCACCUGGGAAGUACGGCCGCAAGGCUGAAACUUAAAGGAAUUGGGCGGGGGAGCACAACAACGGGUGGAGCUUGCGGUUUAAUUGGAUUCAACGCCGGAAAUCUUACCGGGACCGACAGCAACAUGAAGGCCAGGCUGAAGACUUUGCCGGAUUAGCUGAGAGGAGGUGCAUGGCGUAGUCGUGU
This 262-nucleotide ribosomal RNA is filed under the name uncultured archaeon. RNAcentral describes it as "partial 16S ribosomal RNA". It matches the Rfam family "Archaeal small subunit ribosomal RNA", at positions 748 to 1009 of the family's 1478-position model. The record is from RNAcentral.